RNAcentral lists this ribosomal RNA (549 nucleotides) under uncultured Glomeromycotina. RNAcentral describes it as "SSU rRNA". It matches the Rfam family "Eukaryotic small subunit ribosomal RNA", at positions 548 to 1098 of the family's 1831-position model. Lineage: Eukaryota; Fungi; Glomeromycota. The record is from RNAcentral.
UUGGAGGGCAAGUCUGGUGCCAGCAGCCGCGGUAAUUCCAGCUCCAAUAGCGUAUAUUAAAGUUGUUGCAGUUAAAAAGCUCGUAGUUGAAUUUCGGGGUUAGUAGGUUGGUCAUGCCUCUGGUAUGUACUGGUCUCACUGAUUCCUCCUUCCUGAUGAGCCGUAAUGCCAUUAAUUUGGUGUUGCGGGGAAUUUGGACUGUUACUUUGAAAAAAUUAGAGUGUAUAAAGCAAGCUAACGCUUGAAUACAUUAGCAUGGAAUAAUGAAAUAGGACGUUCGAUCCUAUUUUGUUGGUUUCUAGGAUUGACGUAAUGAUUAAUAGGGAUAGUUGGGGGCAUUAGUAUUCAAUUGUCAGAGGUGAAAUUCUUGGAUUUAUUGAAGACUAACUACUGCGAAAGCAUCUGCCAAGGAUGUUUUCAUUAAUCAAGAACGAAAGUUAGGGGAUCGAAGACGAUCAGAUACCGUCGUAGUCUUAACCAUAAACUAUGCCGACUAGGGAUCGGAUGAUGUUGAUUUUUUAAUGACUCAUUCGGCGCCUUACGGGAAAC